Molecule: transfer RNA, 74 nt
Filed under: Podarcis lilfordi (Lilford's wall lizard)
Lineage: Eukaryota; Metazoa; Chordata; Lepidosauria; Squamata; Lacertidae
Rfam family: tRNA
About the family: Transfer RNA (tRNA) molecules are approximately 80 nucleotides in length. Their secondary structure includes four short double-helical elements and three loops (D, anti-codon, and T loops). Further hydrogen bonds mediate the characteristic L-shaped molecular structure. tRNAs have two regions of fundamental functional importance: the anti-codon, which is responsible for specific mRNA codon recognition, and the 3' end, to which the tRNAs corresponding amino acid is attached (by aminoacyl-tRNA synthetases). tRNAs cope with the degeneracy of the genetic code in two manners: having more than one tRNA (with a specific anti-codon) for a particular amino acid; and 'wobble' base-pairing, i.e. permitting non-standard base-pairing at the 3rd anti-codon position.
Source: Rfam by way of RNAcentral
GCUGGGAUAGCUCAGUCAGCAGAGCAUGAGACUCUUAAAUCUCAGGGUCAUGGGUUUGAGCCUCAUGUUGGGCA